This 315-nucleotide ribosomal RNA is filed under the name uncultured Pseudomonas sp. RNAcentral's name for it is "bacterial SSU rRNA". It matches the Rfam family "Bacterial small subunit ribosomal RNA", at positions 1067 to 1382 of the family's 1533-position model. Lineage: Bacteria; Pseudomonadati; Pseudomonadota; Gammaproteobacteria; Pseudomonadales; Pseudomonadaceae. The record is from RNAcentral.
GAGAGUGUUGGGUUAAGUCCCGUAACGAGCGCAACCCUUGUCCUUAGUUACCAGCACGUUAUGGUGGGCACUCUAAGGAGACUGCCGGUGACAAACCGGAGGAAGGUGGGGAUGACGUCAAGUCAUCAUGGCCCUUACGGCCUGGGCUACACACGUGCUACAAUGGUCGGUACAAAGGGUUGCCAAGCCGCGAGGUGGAGCUAAUCCCAUAAAACCGAUCGUAGUCCGGAUCGCAGUCUGCAACUCGACUGCGUGAAGUCGGAAUCGCUAGUAAUCGUGAAUCAGAAUGUCACGGUGAAUACGUUCCCGGGCCUU